GACAGAGGGUGCAAACGUUGUUCGGAAUUACUGGGCGUAAAGCGCGUGUAGGCGGCUAAGUGUGUCGGGCGUGAAAUCCCACGGCUCAACCGUGGAAGUGCACCCGAAACUACGUAGCUAGAGUCCUGGAGAGGAAGGUGGAAUGCUUGGUGUAGAGGUGAAAUUCGUAGAUAUCAAGCGGAACACCGGUGGCGAAGGCGGGUCUCUGGGCAACAACUGACGCUGAGGAGCGAAAGCGUGGGGAGCGAACAGG
This 253-nucleotide ribosomal RNA is filed under the name uncultured bacterium. Its description in RNAcentral is "partial 16S ribosomal RNA". It matches the Rfam family "Bacterial small subunit ribosomal RNA", at positions 524 to 776 of the family's 1533-position model. The record is from RNAcentral.